Molecule: ribosomal RNA, 501 nt
Filed under: uncultured bacterium
Lineage: Bacteria
Description: partial 16S ribosomal RNA
Rfam family: Bacterial small subunit ribosomal RNA
Source: RNAcentral
AUUGGACGCUGGCGGCAGGCUUGACACAUGCAAGUCGAGCGGAGAUGAGGUGCUCGCACCUUAUCUUAGCGGCGGACGGGUGAGUAAUGCUUAGGAAUCUGCCUAUUAGUGGGGGACAACAUUCCGAAAGGAAUGCUAAUACCGCAUACGUCCUACGGGAGAAAGCAGGGGAUCUUCGGACCUUGCGCUAAUAGACGAGCCUAAGUCGGAUUAGCUAGUUGGUGGGGUAAAGGCCUACCAAGGCGACGAUCUGUAGCGGGUCUGAGAGGAUGAUCCGCCACACUGGGACUGAGACACGGCCCAGACUCCUACGGGAGGCGGCAGUGGGGAAUAUUGGACAAUGGGGGGAACCCUGAUCCAGCCAUGCCGCGUGUGUGAAGAAGGCCUUAUGGUUGUAAAGCACUUUAAGCGAGGAGGAGGCUACUGAGACUAAUACUCUUGGAUAGUGGACGUUACUCGCAGAAUAAGCACCGGCUAACUCUGUGCCAGCCGCCGCCGUAA